This 437-nucleotide ribosomal RNA is filed under the name uncultured Bifidobacterium sp. RNAcentral's name for it is "bacterial SSU rRNA". It matches the Rfam family "Bacterial small subunit ribosomal RNA", at positions 200 to 648 of the family's 1533-position model. Lineage: Bacteria; Bacillati; Actinomycetota; Actinomycetes; Bifidobacteriales; Bifidobacteriaceae. The record is from RNAcentral.
GGGAAAGCUUUUGCGGCGUGGGAUGGGGUCGCGUCCUAUCAGCUUGUUGGCGGGGUGAGGGCCCACCAAGGCUUCGACGGGUAGCCGGCCUGAGAGGGCGACCGGCCACAUUGGGACUGAGAUACGGCCCAGACUCCUACGGGAGGCAGCAGUGGGGAAUAUUGCACAAUGGGCGCAAGCCUGAUGCAGCGACGCCGCGUGCGGGAUGGAGGCCUUCGGGUUGUAAACCGCUUUUGUUUGGGAGCAAGCCCUUCGGGGUGAGUGUACCUUUCGAAUAAGCACCGGCUAACUACGUGCCAGCAGCCGCGGUAAUACGUAGGGUGCGAGCGUUAUCCGGAUUUAUUGGGCGUAAAGGGCUCGUAGGCGGUUCGUCGCGUCCGGUGUGAAAGUCCAUCGCCUAACGGUGGAUCUGCGCCGGGUACGGGCGGGCUGGAGUG